This 240-nucleotide unclassified non-coding RNA is filed under the name soil metagenome. RNAcentral's name for it is "partial contains 5.8S ribosomal RNA, internal transcribed spacer 2, and large subunit ribosomal RNA". The record is from RNAcentral.
AACGCACGAGACCUGCGGACCUGCGGAGGGAUCAUCAUUGAAAUUCAUACCUAUACACCCUUGUGAACCAAGCGGCGCUGAUAUGCAUUGUAUAUUAGUGCUGCUGAGCCUGUAUUAGCAGAAUCAAUCGUGUUGGCAGGAUUUAGUGUAUGUACGCAGUGGGAGGGAGUGCGCGCAUCAUGCAUGUGUGCCUAAACUACUGCUGCGCUGCUGCUGCCUGCCAACCUUUGGUCUGCUGUC